This 241-nucleotide long non-coding RNA is filed under the name Lathyrus oleraceus (garden pea). RNAcentral's name for it is "Pisum sativum (pea) long non-coding RNA (PSAT_LNC000751)". Lineage: Eukaryota; Viridiplantae; Streptophyta; Magnoliopsida; Fabales; Fabaceae. The record is from RNAcentral.
CCAUGCCAAAAGAAAAGAAGAAUGAUCUUGUAUGGAUUUAGGUUUUUUGCUUGACCAAGAAGCAACUUAUCCUUAAUGCAAAGAAAUUCACUUGAUCUUUGAUCAAGAUGAAUUUGAUUUGAAUCAAAGAAGGUUAAGCCCCUCAUAUGUCAAGGCUAACCACCAAUCAUUAACUCAUUGAUCAAAAAAGAAAAAAGAAGAAGAAGAAGAAGAAGAAGAAAUGGAAUGUACAUAAUUGAAA